GAGUUUGAUCCUGGCUCAGAGCGAACGCUGGCGGCAGGCCUAACACAUGCAAGUCGAGCGGAUGUAGCAAUACAUCAGCGGCAGACGGGAUAGUAACACGUGGGAACGUGCCCUUUGGUUCGGAAUAACUCGGCGAAAAGCCGUGCUAAUACCGGAUAAGCCCUUACGGGGAAAGAUUUAUCGCCAUUGGAGCGGCCCGCGUCUGAUUAGCUAGUUGGUGAGGUAAUGGCUCACCAAGGCGACGAUCAGUAGACUGGUCUGAGAGGAUGAUCAGCAUCACUGGGACUGAGACACGGCCCAGACUCCUACGGGAGGCAGCAGUGGGGAAUAUUGGACAAUGGGCGGCAAGCCUGAUCCAGCCAUGCCGCGUGGAUGAUGAAGGCCUU
RNAcentral lists this ribosomal RNA (386 nucleotides) under uncultured Alphaproteobacteria bacterium. RNAcentral describes it as "bacterial SSU rRNA". It matches the Rfam family "Bacterial small subunit ribosomal RNA", at positions 9 to 418 of the family's 1533-position model. The record is from RNAcentral. Lineage: Bacteria; Pseudomonadati; Pseudomonadota; Alphaproteobacteria.